GCCAGCAGCCGCGGUAAUACGUAGGGUGCAAGCGUUGUCCGGAUUUAUUGGGCGUAAAGAGCUCGUAGGCGGUUAGUCGCGUCGGAUGUGAAAACUCAGUGCUUAACACUGGGCCUGCAUUCGAUACGGGCUGACUAGAGUGUUGUAGGGGAGACUGGAACUCCUGGUGUAGCGGUGAAAUGCGCAGAUAUCAGGAAGAACACCGGUGGCGAAGGCGGGUCUCUGGGCAAUUACUGACGCUGAGGAGCGAAAGCGUGGGGAGCAAACAGGAUUAGAUACCCUGGUAGUCCACGCCGUAAACGGUGGGCGCUAGGUGUGGGGAACAUUCCACGUUCUCCGUGCCGCAGCUAACGCAUUAAGCGCCCCGCCUGGGGAGUACGGCCGCAAGGCUAAAACUCAAAUGAAUUGACGGGG
Molecule: ribosomal RNA, 414 nt
Filed under: uncultured bacterium
Lineage: Bacteria
Description: bacterial SSU rRNA
Rfam family: Bacterial small subunit ribosomal RNA
Source: RNAcentral